AGAGUUUGAUCAUGGCUCAGGAUGAACGCUGGCGGCGUGCCUAAUACAUGCAAGUCGAACGCGAGCACUUGUGCUCGAGUGGCGAACGGGUGAGUAAUACAUAAGUAACCUGCCCUAGACAGGGGGAUAACUAUUGGAAACGAUAGCUAAGACCGCAUAGGUACGGACACUGCAUGGUGACCGUAUUAAAAGUGCCUCAAAGCACUGGUAGAGGAUGGACUUAUGGCGCAUUAGCUGGUUGGCGGGGUAACGGCCCACCAAGGCGACGAUGCGUAGCCGACCUGAGAGGGUGACCGGCCACACUGGGACUGAGACACGGCCCAGACUCCUACGGGAGGCAGCAGUAGGGAAUUUUCGGCAAUGGGGGAAACCCUGACCGAGCAACGCCGCGUGAAGGAAGAAGGUUUUCGGAUUGUAAACUUCUGUUAUUUUGGAAGAAGGCGGCUACAGGAAAUGGUAGCCGAAAGAAAGGGCGUUAUUAGAAAGCCACGGCUAACUACGUGCCAGCAGCCGCGGUAAUACGUAGGUGGCAAGCGUUAUCCGGAAUUAUUGGGCGUAAAGAGGGAGCAGGCGGCAGCAAGGGUCUGUGGUGAAAGCCUGAAGCUUAACUUCAGUAAGCCAUAGAAACCAGGCAGCUAGAGUGCAGGAGAGGAUCGUGGAAUUCCAUGUGUAGCGGUGAAAUGCGUAGAUAUAUGGAGGAACACCAGUGGCGAAGGCGACGAUCUGGCCUGCAACUGACGCUCAGUCCCGAAAGCGUGGGGAGCAAAUAGGAUUAGAUA
Molecule: ribosomal RNA, 779 nt
Filed under: uncultured bacterium
Lineage: Bacteria
Description: bacterial SSU rRNA
Rfam family: Bacterial small subunit ribosomal RNA
Source: RNAcentral